UACAACAAUAACAUAUCAAACAGUGCUCACAAACAAGCUACAUAACCAUCAAGAGUAUCAAUCAUACUAUAAAUAUCCACAUACUAAACAAAAAUAUAUACACACAUGCUAUGGGACUUAUUUUUGCCCAAAUAGUCAUGACCUACAGGGAACAAUCUAUAUUCAUGUACCAUACUGGUGUGGUACCCGAUCCACUAUAUACAUAUUCAUAUCGGCGUAGUACCCGAUCCAUCAUAU
RNAcentral lists this long non-coding RNA (237 nucleotides) under Capsicum annuum. RNAcentral describes it as "long non-coding RNA (CANN_LNC005947)". The record is from RNAcentral. Lineage: Eukaryota; Viridiplantae; Streptophyta; Magnoliopsida; Solanales; Solanaceae.